AUCACCUUGGGCUUUGGAGGACAGGCUUAAGCAGAAUGGGAGUUAUCACCAUGGCCCUUCUCUCCUCAGUCCAGUUGCCCUACCUCUGAAGACUUGUGCCCAAUAGGGGUGGACAUGGUAGGGAAGAACUGUAGUGUGGCACCACCAGUUUCCUUUUGCAGAUAAAUGCCCAGAUCUAUUCAGGUGAAACCUGCUGGACCUCAGGGUUCUCAUUCCCACUGCUUCUUCCAUGUGUAGCUGAAACUGAGUCAUAAAGGAAGAGUUUGUUGCUGGGAAGAGGAUGAGUAUAUUGGGAGAAUGCUCUACUAGCUGUUCUCCUUUCCUGGACCAUCUUUGUGACAUUGUGUGAUGCUAACUGCACCUUUACUCAAAUGAAGAUCAAUGGAGGCAAUGAAUCAAAAGGUUGCACAGAUGGUCAAGGUGUAUUUCAUUACUUGUAUUCUACAUGGAGUGAUGAUGAAUGUGAAACAUGUGAUUGUCUUGAAAAUGGAAUUGAGUGCUGUAACAUCAUUAUGAGGCCUAUCGGGUAUGAUGAAGAAAAAUGUGAGGAAUUUCUGGACAAAAAGUUAUGUCUUUACAGAGCUGUAGAGAAAGAAAACCACACUCAACUCUGUGAAAUAUCAGAAUAUAUUAUUUAGCCAUUCUAGCUCCUGUUUUUGCUGCCUAAAGUCAUCACCUCCCAAUGGAACUCGUCCUCACUUCAAGCAAUGAUUCUCUUCCUGGAAUUCAGAAUAACAGGAGUUAAUUAUUAAAAUGACUUUGGAUUUCCAUUCUACUGAGGCCUUUUUAAGUCUUAGGUACCCUGAUUCAGACGAAAAUUUGUCACCUCUCUGGCUUCUGAAAUCCUUUUGGUACCUAUGUCAUACACCUAUCUCCAGUAACCUUUUGUCUAAUGAAUAUCUAAAGAAAUAUAUGUUCCUUUAGCAUGAAAUUGAAAUAGCAUGGAAUUCGUCUC
This 955-nucleotide long non-coding RNA is filed under the name Monodelphis domestica (gray short-tailed opossum). RNAcentral describes it as "lncRNA (ENSMODG00000041247.1)". Lineage: Eukaryota; Metazoa; Chordata; Mammalia; Didelphimorphia; Didelphidae. The record is from RNAcentral.